GGGCCGGUGGCUUAGUCCGGAUAUAGCACUGGCCUUCUAAGCCAGUGGUCUCGGGUUCGAAUCCCGACCGGCCCG
This 75-nucleotide transfer RNA is filed under the name Thermoplasmata archaeon. Its description in RNAcentral is "tRNA-Arg". It matches the Rfam family "tRNA". Rfam says of the family: Transfer RNA (tRNA) molecules are approximately 80 nucleotides in length. Their secondary structure includes four short double-helical elements and three loops (D, anti-codon, and T loops). Further hydrogen bonds mediate the characteristic L-shaped molecular structure. tRNAs have two regions of fundamental functional importance: the anti-codon, which is responsible for specific mRNA codon recognition, and the 3' end, to which the tRNAs corresponding amino acid is attached (by aminoacyl-tRNA synthetases). tRNAs cope with the degeneracy of the genetic code in two manners: having more than one tRNA (with a specific anti-codon) for a particular amino acid; and 'wobble' base-pairing, i.e. permitting non-standard base-pairing at the 3rd anti-codon position. Lineage: Archaea; Methanobacteriati; Thermoplasmatota; Thermoplasmata. The record is from RNAcentral. RNAcentral also lists the same sequence under 1 other name.